CCCUGCACCGGGGCAUGCUGAUCUGCUGGCUCUGGGGUGGUGCAAAGAAGGUGACACGAGGCCGUGUUUGGCCCUGCUUCUCCAUGACCCCUGUCUCUGCUCUUGGUGGUCAGUUGUUGUCAUGGUGACCUUGGCAGGUGGCCUGUCAGAAGUCCCCUCCAAACUCUGCCUCGGUGACACAGGGGUCCAACAGCUUCUCCUGCCCUUCAUCCACUGCACCAGCACCAUCCCUGAUGUCUGCCUGGGGUAGUGACCAGGCUCUGUCCCCACAUGGAGCAUCCGUGUGUCCCCCGAAGGACACCCCCACUGCCUGCAUCUGCAGCUGCUGGGCUCAGUGACAGCCAGGACCACGGCGUGGGGACACGGGGGGUCCAGUCCUGCCACCCCAGCACAGAGCCCAGGAGCAGCUCCUGGCAGCACGGUCAGGCCAGUGCCAGGUCCAGCACCAGCAGAUCCGGAUGCUCAGCUCUGCAGCCAGGAUGGUGCCCCAUGUUUAUGGAAAUGGACUAGGAGAAACACUGCUGCUCUGAGUACAAACAAGCUGUUGUGACCUCUUGGCAAGAAAUCCAGGGAAAGCCAGCAGCAGUUCUUCCAGAGCCAUGCUGGAGGGCUGAAAAUAAACUCACAUCUGAGGAGCUGGAACAUGAAGUCUGUGCUGCUGAAAGUACAGAGGAUUUGAGAUACCCCAGCGAGUAGUGAAUUUUACUAUUAAUAAAAUCAGCACAGUUUUCACA
This is a long non-coding RNA of Passer domesticus (house sparrow), 734 nucleotides long. RefSeq lists it as uncharacterized. NCBI's taxonomy places the organism in Eukaryota, Metazoa, Chordata, Aves, Passeriformes, Passeridae. The record is from RefSeq and is a predicted model, not a curated record. The transcript is spliced from 2 exons.